AGAUUGAACGCUGGCGGCAUGCCUAACACAUGCAAGUCGAACGGGAGUAGCAAUACUCUAGUGGCGGACGGGUGAGGAAUACGUAGGAAUUUGCCCUUAAGUGGGGGAUAACCCGGGGAAACCCGGAUUAAUACCGCAUGACCUCGAAAGAGCAAAGUGGGGGAUCGCAAGACCUCACGCUUUUGGAGAAGCCUACGUCGGAUUAGCUAGUUGGUGAGGUAAUGGCUCACCGAAGGCGACGAUCCGUAACUGGUCUGAGAGGAUGAUCAGUCACACCGGACUG
RNAcentral lists this ribosomal RNA (283 nucleotides) under uncultured soil bacterium. RNAcentral describes it as "partial 16S ribosomal RNA". It matches the Rfam family "Bacterial small subunit ribosomal RNA", at positions 26 to 321 of the family's 1533-position model. The record is from RNAcentral.